This 468-nucleotide ribosomal RNA is filed under the name uncultured bacterium. Its description in RNAcentral is "partial 16S ribosomal RNA". It matches the Rfam family "Bacterial small subunit ribosomal RNA", at positions 28 to 507 of the family's 1533-position model. The record is from RNAcentral.
GACGAACGCUGGCGGCGUGCUUAACACAUGCAAGUCGAACGGAAAGGCCCUGCUUUUGUGCGGUGCUCGAGUGGCGAACGGGUGAGUAACACGUGAGUAACCUGCCCUUGACUUUGGGAUAACUUCAGGAAACUGGGGCUAAUACCGGAUAGGAUCUCCCGCUGCAUGGUGGGCGUUGGAAAGUUUCGGCGGUUGGGGAUGGACCCGCGGCUUAUCAGCUUGUUGGUGGGGUAGUGGUAUACCAAGGCUUUGACGGGUAGCCGGCCUUGGAGGGUGACCGGCCACAUUGGGACUGAGAUACGGACCAGGCUCCUACGGGAGGCAGCGGUGGGAAAUAUGACACAAUCGGAGGGAGCCUGAUGCAGCAGCGCCGCGGGCGGGAUGACGGCCUUCGGGUUAUGAACCGCAUUCGCCUGUGACGAAGCGGGAGUGACGGUAAUGGGUAAAGAAGCACCGGCUAACUUCGUG